RNAcentral lists this ribosomal RNA (369 nucleotides) under uncultured phototrophic eukaryote. Its description in RNAcentral is "SSU rRNA". It matches the Rfam family "Bacterial small subunit ribosomal RNA", at positions 524 to 896 of the family's 1533-position model. The record is from RNAcentral.
UACGGAGGAUGCAAGCGUUAUCCGGAAUCAUUGGGCGUAAAGCGCCUGUAGGUUGUUUAAUAAGUCUGUUGUUAAAGACUAGGGCUCAACCCUAGAAAAGCAAUGGAAACUACUAGACUAGAGUAUGGCAGGGGUAGAGGGAAUUUCUAGUGUAGCGGUGAAAUGCGUAGAUAUUAGAAAGAACACCGGUGGCGAAAGCGCUCUACUGGACCAUUACUGACACUCAGAGGCGAAAGCUAGGGUAGCAAAAGGGAUUAGAUACCCCUGUAGUCCUAGCCGUAAACGAUGGAUACUAGAUGUUGUGAUUUAUUUACAGUGUCCUUGCUAACGCGUUAAGUAUCCCGCCUGGGGAGUACGCUCGCAAGGGUG